AAUAUAUCACCCGAGAACAUAAAAAGGAAGACUAUAAAUAGGCUUUCUAGGAAGAGUAGAAUUUUUGUACAAAAUCGUAUAAAAAAGCUAAUGAUAAAAAGGUAAUUUUCAAGCACUGUGUGAUAACAUUAAAGGAAAAUAAGGGAAUAAUUCUAUUUCAGUUGUUGAGAAGCUUGUGAAACCCCAUAAUAUCAAUAAUAUGAUAACAUUCAUGGCUAGUCAUUUCAAAAAUUAUACUCAUGCUCCUAAC
RNAcentral lists this long non-coding RNA (250 nucleotides) under Lathyrus oleraceus (garden pea). RNAcentral describes it as "Pisum sativum (pea) long non-coding RNA (PSAT_LNC023263)". The record is from RNAcentral. Lineage: Eukaryota; Viridiplantae; Streptophyta; Magnoliopsida; Fabales; Fabaceae.